RNAcentral lists this ribosomal RNA (998 nucleotides) under Ambrosiella sp. XbF18S01. Its description in RNAcentral is "SSU rRNA". It matches the Rfam family "Eukaryotic small subunit ribosomal RNA", at positions 94 to 1102 of the family's 1831-position model. Lineage: Eukaryota; Fungi; Ascomycota; Sordariomycetes; Microascales; Ceratocystidaceae. The record is from RNAcentral.
UGGCUCAUUAUAUAAGUUAUCGUUUAUUUGAUAGCACCUUACUACUUGGAUAACCGUGGUAAUUCUAGAGCUAAUACAUGCUAAAAAUCCCGACUUCGGAAGGGAUGUAUUUAUUAGAUUAAAGACCAAUGCCUUCGGGCUUUUUGGUGAUUCAUGAUAACUUCUCGAAUCGCAUGGCCUUGCGCCGGCGAUGGUUCAUUCAAAUUUCUUCCCUAUCAACUUUCGAUGCGAAGGUCUUGUCUUCGCAUGGUUACAACGGGUAACGGAGGGUUAGGGCUCGACCCCGGAGAGGGAGCCUGAGAAAUGGCUACCACUUUUAAGGAAGGCAGCAGGCGCGCAAAUUACCCAAUCCCGACACGGGGAGGUAGUGACAAUAAAUACUGAUACAGGGCUCUUAUUGGGUCUUGUAAUCGGAAUGAGUACAAUUUAAAUCCCUUAACGAGGAACAAUUGGAGGGCAAGUCUGGUGCCAGCAGCCGCGGUAAUUCCAGCUCCAAUAGCGUAUAUUAAAGUUGUUGUGGUUAAAAAGCUCGUAGUUGAACCUUGGGCCUGGCUGGCCGGUCCCCCUCACCGGGUGCACUGGUCCGGCCGGGUCUUUCCCUCUAUGGAACCUCAUGCUCUUUACUGAGUGUGACGGGGAAAUAGGACUUUUACUUUGAAAAAAUUAGAGUGCUCCAGGCAGGCCUAUGCUCGAAUAGUACAGCAUGGAAUAAUAGAAUAGGACGUGUGGUUCUAUUUUGUUGGUUUCUAGGACCGCCGUAAUGAUUAAUAGGGACAGUCGGGGGCAUCAGUAUUCAGCUGUCAGAGGUGAAAUUCUUGGAUCUGCUGAAGACUAACUACUGCGAAAGCAUUUGCCAAGGAUGUUUUCAUUGAUAAGGAACGAAAGUUAGGGGAUCGAAGACGAUCAGAUACCGUCGUAGUCUUAACCAUAAACUAUGCCGACUAGGGAUCGGACGAUGUUAUUUUUUUGACUCGUUCGGCACCUUUCGAGAAAUCAAA